GUAAAACUUAACUCUGUGCAUAAAGCACACGUGGAAAAAGAAGUCACAGUGAUGCACACAGUGACUGAAGCCUGAUGUUGCAGACACCAAAAGCUCAGUGAUGAAGCAGAUGCCCCACGUAGCCACGCAUCACUGUCCUGAAUGCAGAAAAAUACCCUCAAGGAAGAUGAGCCUCAGAUCACUCCAACCUUAAUAAAUGCUGCCAGAGUGGGUUCCACCCAUUAGCAGUUGUCAGCGGGUUGUCUUUGCUUAACUGGCAGCCUCACUCAGCUGCACUCAGCAGCACCUCCCUGGAAAAGCAGUUUGCAAACCUUCCUGGGAAGCAAAUGAACACAGUGGUGAUCACAACGUGCAGUACGACCUGAAAUGUCACCUGCUCACAGAACGUCAGAAUGCAUCAUCUUGGUCUUCUUUAGCAAUUCCUGCUGCUAGCUAUGUACUCCUAUUGGCAAGAACUAUCAAAUCAGCAUCCCGAGCCAGCAGC
RNAcentral lists this long non-coding RNA (484 nucleotides) under Gallus gallus (chicken). RNAcentral describes it as "long non-coding RNA NONGGAT003719". The record is from RNAcentral. Lineage: Eukaryota; Metazoa; Chordata; Aves; Galliformes; Phasianidae.